Podospora fimiseda is the source of this 101-nucleotide non-coding RNA. NCBI's taxonomy places the organism in Eukaryota, Fungi, Ascomycota, Sordariomycetes, Sordariales, Podosporaceae. The record is from the annotation of a GenBank genome assembly.
GGACGCAUAGUAUAGUGGCCAGUACAGCGGUGAGGAACUGAAAGAGGGUCGGCUCAAUCGGACAGACACCGAAGGCGAGGGUUCGAAUCCCUCUGCUUCCA